Molecule: ribosomal RNA, 66 nt
Filed under: Bacillus amyloliquefaciens
Lineage: Bacteria; Bacillati; Bacillota; Bacilli; Caryophanales; Bacillaceae
Also listed under: 14 other names
Description: partial 16S ribosomal RNA
Rfam family: Bacterial small subunit ribosomal RNA
Source: RNAcentral
UUAUCGGAGAGUUUGAUCCUGGCUCAGGACGAACGCUGGCGGCGUGCCUAAUACAUGCAAGUCGAG